GCAGUGGCGUAAUGGGUCAGUACAUCUAGCUGCUAACCAGAAGGUUGGUGGUUUGAGCCCAGCCAGGAAUG
Molecule: non-coding RNA, 71 nt
Organism: Podarcis lilfordi (Lilford's wall lizard)
Lineage: Eukaryota; Metazoa; Chordata; Lepidosauria; Squamata; Lacertidae
Source: the annotation of a GenBank genome assembly